GCUACACACGUGCUACAAUGGGUAGUACAGAGAGUCGCAAAGCCGCGAGGUGGAGCUAAUCUCAGAAAACUAUUCUUAGUUCGGAUUGUACUCUGCAACUCGAGUACAUGAAGUUGGAAUCGCUAGUAAUCGCGAAUCAGCAAUGUCGCGGUGAAUACGUUCUCGGGUCUUGUACACACCGCCCGUCACACCACGAGAGUUGGUUGCACCUGAAGUAGCAGGCCUAACCGUAAGGAGGGAUGCUCCGAGGGUGUGAUUAGCGAUUGGGGUGAAGUCGUAACAAGGUAUCCGUACGGGAACGU
Molecule: ribosomal RNA, 302 nt
Filed under: uncultured Fusobacterium sp.
Lineage: Bacteria; Fusobacteriati; Fusobacteriota; Fusobacteriia; Fusobacteriales; Fusobacteriaceae
Description: bacterial SSU rRNA
Rfam family: Bacterial small subunit ribosomal RNA
Source: RNAcentral